Molecule: long non-coding RNA, 932 nt
Organism: Drosophila miranda
Lineage: Eukaryota; Metazoa; Arthropoda; Insecta; Diptera; Drosophilidae
Exons: 3
Source: RefSeq, a predicted model, not a curated record
UAUAACCUCAACUCUGAGAACUCAGUAGGUCUGGAAAGGGUGUUCUCAUUCCAUUAUCUCGUUUAAAAUUCCGUUUACGAAACAAGUUCUUCUGCAUGCAAGAUUUAAAAUGGAUUUCCCCAUCGAAAUAUACCUUCACGGGAGCGUACCUUUGCACGAUUAAGAAAUUGCUGAACGCCCAAAUGACAGAAAUGUUGUAUCCGCAAGGCAUCUAAUAAACUUCAGCCGGAAAUAAACUGAAAUCAGUUGAUGGAUUUGUACCUGGACUUGAACCUAAGUGGCGGUCGGAGCAUGCACGGCCAGAUUCAUGAGCCCUGACACGAAAUAUUUUGUGAACCUUCUUCAUGUGGGGAUUCUUCAACAGCACUGCCUUCGGGCAUUCAACCACGAUCGCAAGCGGAAAAAAAAUAUUGAUAGGUAUUUUGUGAUAUACUAUUUCGUCCAUAAGAGCAGCUCUCUUACAUCUGGCGGUGUAUGACCAGAUUUGGGAUUAAGUUCAGAUCCUGGUUCAGAUCCAUCAACUGAAAGCAGUUUAUUUUCGGCUGAGAGGCUUUGCGGAUGCAACGUUGCUGCCAUUUGUUCUUGGUUCUUGUUUCUGUACAAAAACAAGAUGCACGAAAUCUGCUCCAGCAAUUGUGGAGUAAUUGGAAAACAUAGCAUAUAGAAUCCUUUUGACCCUGAACUCAGACGCCUUUUGUAGGGACAACUUUUGAAUGGAAUGCAGGAGCUUCAACUGCUAACUAACCUGCGACACUCGUUUUCGAUUGGCAAUCCGCAAUAGAAGACGUUUUACUAUAACUGGUCUAAGGCACUGUAAUGGAGGAUUGCAAAGGGACUGGACAAUAACAUUGAAAAUACCUCUGAAAUAAAUGCCUGUUGCUGUAUCCUCCACAGUUUUUGUAUAAUAGAGAAGUGGCCAGUUGGGGAAUUCG